CCUACGGGGGGCAGCAGUGGGGAAUAUUGGACAAUGGGGGCAACCCUGAUCCAGCCAUGCCGCGUGUGUGAAGAAGGCCCUCGGGUUGUAAAGCACUUUCAGUGAGGAAGAACGCCUGGUGGUUAAUACCCAUCAGGAAAGACAUCACUCACAGAAGAAGCACCGGCUAACUCCGUGCCAGCAGCCGCGGUAAUACGGAGGGUGCGAGCGUUAAUCGGAAUUACUGGGCGUAAAGCGCGCGUAGGUGGCUUGAUAAGCCGGUUGUGAAAGCCCCGGGCUCAACCUGGGAACGGCAUCCGGAACUGUCAAGCUAGAGUGCAGGAGAGGAAGGUAGAAUUCCCGGUGUAGCGGUGAAAUGCGUAGAGAUCGGGAGGAAUACCAGUGGCGAAGGCGGCCUUCUGGACUGACACUGACACUGAGGUGCGAAAGCGUGGGUAGCACACAGGAUUAGAUACCCGAGUAGUC
Molecule: ribosomal RNA, 465 nt
Filed under: Vreelandella stevensii
Lineage: Bacteria; Pseudomonadati; Pseudomonadota; Gammaproteobacteria; Oceanospirillales; Halomonadaceae
Description: partial 16S ribosomal RNA
Rfam family: Bacterial small subunit ribosomal RNA
Source: RNAcentral